CUUAAGUUGCUAAGAGGGAAGCGGGCCCUCCUGCAUGUCGUGGUGCUGGAGCUCCCGCAACCCACAGUUGUUGAUCUUCUUACCUAGGUGAACGACAUUGGGUGUCCCCUGUCCCCAGAAGAGUCCUGGGCUGUAGGGGGACACCAAAGAGCUCUGAGUUGGGAGGCAUGGAGGAGAUCAUCCAUGAUCCAAGGACAGCACUGUCCCUAUGUGGUGCAGGCAAACAUCACAGUACCAUAGGGACCUCAUAAAGUCAUCGUAAGUACCGGAACGUUCUGGUGCCAUCCAGACUCUCUGCGGACCCAAAGGGUUCUGGUGCCAUACAGACCCCAUAAGGUCACCUUCUGUACUUUGUCUUUUAGGAUGGCACAUUGGUGUGACCCCUGUGCUAUCCCCUUUCUGUUGCAUGAGGACUUGAUCAUCCCUAGAUGUCCCCACCAGAUCCUCUAGAGGACACAGCCCAUUGUCCUGUAAUAAACACCAAUAAAGAUCCUCAGCAAAGCUCCUGUGCCCGUGUCCCUGUAUUCCCGUGUCCACAUGUCCCUUCGUCCCUGUGCCCAUCUGACCCCUUUUAUCCCUGCAGUAACCGCAUUAUCGUACAGUAACCCUAUAAUUCCUAUAGUGGCACUGUUAUGUUUUUCCUGCAGUAACCUCGUUACCCCUGCAAUAACGCCAUUAUUCCAUGACUCUGUGGCAUUCAUUUGGGUUGAAGUGUGGAGAUGGCACUGGGUGACACCGAGGGUGACACAGUCCCUCAAUGGGUGGUACUGGGGGACACCAGGGGUGACAGCACCUCAAGGAGCACCGUCGGGGUGACACAACCCCUCAGUGGGUGGCACUCGGUGUGCUGUAGAACCCCCAACACAAUUUCUGACCCUUUCGGGCGCCCACCUUUCGGGGCAGCUACAACCUCUCUCCCACCCUCAGACUCGCCCGCUCUCCAAGCCAAUGGCAGCCAUCGCCCAGCAAAUGGCAGUGCAUCCAGCCAAUGGGGACUCGCGGUGGCGGCGGGGAGAAGGAACAGAGGGAACGGCCACGCCCUUUUCUUCUUUUCCUCCCUUCGGGUGCAGUGGACGAAAUGGCAGCGCCAGUUGCAUAGCAACAGCGCUCGGGCCCACCCGGAGGCUUCAAACACCGUUUGGGCCUAACUCAACCCCCUAAUAUUCAUCCUAAUCCCUUAACUGGACGGAUACCCUACAGUGGGGAUAAAUCCAGCCCGAGGGCAAACCCUGCCCGGGUUAACUCCUGCCUGGGGUGCGGUAUUUUGGUUGCGGGACCCCGGUCCUGGGGCAGCCCAAUGGGCCGGUUCUCGUUGGUCUGCAGGGUUGGACCCGGGCAAAGGGGAAGAGGAAAAGAAAAAGGAAGAAGGCAUUUCCAGGUCCGCCUGCCCCACUGCCGAGUGUCGUACCCCACGGUGCCCUACAGCAACUUCUUGUACCCUGUUUCAAGAUCCGCCACCCACACUGAAUCUCAGCAAGCUGUUCUGCCCCACAGCGCGCUCCAGCAAUGUCUCCUGCCCUGCAGUGAAGAAGUCUCCAGCACCAUGGAGGACCCCAUGAUCCCCCUGCCACUACAUCCACAUGGUAGACCUCAGCAGCAACGUCACUUGUGAUAUAGGUGGGGCUCUGCAACUGAUAUCUCAUGGACUGAAGGACCAGAGGGGACCUCCGUUCAGCACGCACACCGAGUGAUUCUUGGGGAGCUCACCCCGUUCCCUUCUCCAUUGGGACCAGCUGCAAGUUCCCUGGAAUACGCACAGUUGAGAUGGCACUGGAAAGCAAAAGAGAGAGGAUCCUGAAUUCCUGUGUCAACAGUGUCUUCUUUUUCUUCCAAAUGUGGACAUACCAGAAGAGGGGAAAAAGCUCUGCCCAGGUAUGUUCUUGCUGAGCUGCCAGAGCCUGAGUCCCUUUAGGCUGCUCCCUGGCUCCUUGUCCCAAGAACACUGGAGACUCAGGCAUGGUGGAGGCCCAGCUUUCCUUUCCCACCCUCGUGCCUUCCUUGGGGAUGGCGUUAGGGUGAGGUGCCCCGUGCAGUGCUGCAGGUGCUCUUCUACAACCCUCUGUCCUCUUGCAAACUGUGACAGCAAUGGAAAUCAUGCCUUGGUGCACAACUGCCACAUCUCCAGGGCAGGCAUUAUCUUUCAGGUCUGGCUGUUUCAAAGAGAGGGGUAACUGAGGGAGUUCCACAUGCCAAGGGACUUGAGUGUCCCUGCUGUGGUGGCAUAGACUCCUGGCACCUGUCCUUCCUGCACAGGAUCCCAUCCCUGCAACUCUGUGCUGCCUUCCCAGUGGGGCAGAUCCCAGAGCUCCUGUUGGAGCAGCAGCUCCCAGGGCGGAGACCAGCAGCUUCUCUCUUUGCAGGCACUGCUGCACUUCAUCAACUACCAGCACAUGCUUGUGUGUACGAGAAGCCUGAGCGUGUGCUUCAGUGGAUGCUCUCAUGUUUGAUGGAAAAAGUAAGGAGCCAGGCACCCUCCAGCCAGGCUCCCUCCCCUUCCCUGCAUCCCAGAGCAGCUCAGGGGUGCCUGCAGCCGGGGCACAGCUUGGAGCUCUCAACAGAGAGCUCCAAAGUGAAGGUCUCCACCUUUCCUUUGCCCCUGCUCUUCCUUCUCCAGACCCUGCUCUGCCUCCACUCAGUCCUUCCCCUGCCCCCUCUCCAUCACCCAGGACUGGUACAGUACCAAAAAAUGUCAGGAAAAGUGUGACUCAGUCAUCAAGGUCUACUUCUCCAUCGUGGGAGAGAGCUCCUGGGUCACCUCUGCCUUUUCAGCUGUGGAGAAGAUGCCACUAGAUACCCAGCUACAGUUGCAUUUUAUUGCCUCUAUGCAUCCAUCAAACAGGAAAGCAGUAAGAUAAGAUGGGAUGAGCAGUAUCACUCUGCAGACAGACAUCUGCUGCUGUGCCUGCUUGUUUCCUUUGUUAUUCUGCUUGGUGGAGCCUGUCCAUGAAGUCUGCAGGUUCCCUGAACACCUCUGCUACUGCACCUCCAUCGUUCUUGAGCUCCCUCUUGUUCCUAGCACUCCUCACCUUUUGCUGUAUAAUCCCUUUUUUGUUUAUAAUCCCUGUCCUACUCUCCUCACCACAGGGAUUCUCCCCAUGGGUCCCCUCACCACUGAUCUCCCCAACCAUUCCUUGUUUAAAGCACCGUUCACUGUUUGCUAAGCUUGUUGCCAAAACGAUGUUUCUUCCUGACCCCCUCUGUUCCCUCCCCUUUAGAAACAAUGCUGACAGAUGAGAUGGAAGAUUAGGUUACCUACAGCUCUGAGAGGAGCUGUAGGAUACAAGUUUCCCCUUGUAUGCCUUGUCCAGUCCCAGGGACAUUGCCAAGGUAACAAGCUCCAGCCUUCCUGGGAAUCUCAUGGCCUCCAUCUGAAAAAACCUGAGGAACAUCCAAGUGAAGGCAGCACAAAGCAGACUGGAUGAGUGUGCCUUGCAUACGUCCUGCCCAACUGAUAGCAAACCUCCAGCAAGGAGCCAGCUGGGCAGACCACGUGGUGCUUUCAGUGAGAGAGGGUGAGUCCCCUCCACAACAUCUCUUCCUCAGUGCAAUUAGAAGAGCAUUGUGGAUCUCCUCUGGGAAUCUUCACAGCACCGUGACUGCUGCUUUGGGUGUCUGCAGGUGGAAUACACUCCAGGUAGCUAGUGUGCAUUUCUCUCUGUACUCCCAAGUUGAAAGGGGAGGAGUCAAGAGAGAUAUUUCUUUCCAGAAUGUAAACAGUAGCUUUUUUUCUACAAGUCUGUUUCCACCCUUUGCCAUUAAAAUUUAAAUACUCCUUGCAGGGAUGA
Molecule: long non-coding RNA, 3785 nt
Organism: Numida meleagris (helmeted guineafowl)
Lineage: Eukaryota; Metazoa; Chordata; Aves; Galliformes; Numididae
Exons: 4
Source: RefSeq, a predicted model, not a curated record